RNAcentral lists this ribosomal RNA (310 nucleotides) under uncultured Lactobacillus sp. Its description in RNAcentral is "bacterial SSU rRNA". It matches the Rfam family "Bacterial small subunit ribosomal RNA", at positions 227 to 525 of the family's 1533-position model. Lineage: Bacteria; Bacillati; Bacillota; Bacilli; Lactobacillales; Lactobacillaceae. The record is from RNAcentral.
ACCUCGCGGGUGCAUUAGCUAGUUGGUAGGGGUAAACGGGCCUACCAAGGCGAUGAUGCAUAGCCGAGUUGAGAGACUGAUCGGCCACAUUGGGACUGAGACACGGCCCAAACUCCUACGGGAGGCAGCAGUAGGGAAUCUUCCACAAUGGACGCAAGUCUGAUGGAGCAACGCCGCGUGAGUGAAGAAGGGUUUCGGCUCGUAAAGCUCUGUUGUUGGUGAAGAAGGACAGGGGGUAGUAACUGACCUUUGUUUGACGGUAAUCAAUUAGAAAGUCACGGCUAACUACGUGCCAGCAGCCGCGGUAAAU